GACAGAGGGUGCAAACGUUGCUCGGAAUUACUGGGCGUAAAGGGCGUGUAGGCGGGAAGGCAAGUCGGGCGUGAAAGCCCCAGGCUCAACCUGGGAACUGCACUCGAAACUGCCUUUCUUGAGUGCCGGAGAGGAAAGCGGAAUUCCUGGUGUAGAGGUGAAAUUCGUAGAUAUCAGGAGGAACACCAGUGGCGAGGGCGGCUUUCUGGACGGUAACUGACGUCUGAGACGCGAAAGCGUGGGGAGCAAACAGG
This 254-nucleotide ribosomal RNA is filed under the name uncultured bacterium. Its description in RNAcentral is "partial 16S ribosomal RNA". It matches the Rfam family "Bacterial small subunit ribosomal RNA", at positions 524 to 776 of the family's 1533-position model. The record is from RNAcentral.